This 276-nucleotide unclassified non-coding RNA is filed under the name Melitaea cinxia (Glanville fritillary). Its description in RNAcentral is "misc RNA ENSMCXG00005018658.1". Lineage: Eukaryota; Metazoa; Arthropoda; Insecta; Lepidoptera; Nymphalidae. The record is from RNAcentral.
AAGAGAAAAUAAGGAAACGUUUGGAUGUCAUUUGUGUUCUUUUGACGCUGACCGGAUCACAGUUCUCGACCGACAUCUCUUAAACGACCAUAAAAUUGGUAUCGACAAUCUUCUAAAACUCGUUAUGGAAAAAACUAGAGAAGGUCUCGCAGAAGAAUAUCCAUCUCAGCUGUAUGGUAUACGACAACCGUAUUACAAACCAACAGAUGAAAUAAUCGAAAACGGAGAGUUUGUUAUAGAGACGUCAAGAUUCUCCACGGGAUUGGGAAAAAGCAC